This 477-nucleotide ribosomal RNA is filed under the name Colletotrichum siamense. Its description in RNAcentral is "eukaryotic LSU rRNA". The stretch from base 132 to 285 matches the Rfam family "5.8S ribosomal RNA". The record is from RNAcentral. Lineage: Eukaryota; Fungi; Ascomycota; Sordariomycetes; Glomerellales; Glomerellaceae.
CUGUUGCUUCGGCGGGUAGGGUCUCCGCGACCCUCCCGGCCUCCCGCCUCCGGGCGGGUCGGCGCCCGCCGGAGGAUAACCAAACUCUGAUUUAACGACGUUUCUUCUGAGUGGUACAAGCAAAUAAUCAAAACUUUUAACAACGGAUCUCUUGGUUCUGGCAUCGAUGAAGAACGCAGCGAAAUGCGAUAAGUAAUGUGAAUUGCAGAAUUCAGUGAAUCAUCGAAUCUUUGAACGCACAUUGCGCCCGCCAGCAUUCUGGCGGGCAUGCCUGUUCGAGCGUCAUUUCAACCCUCAAGCUCUGCUUGGUGUUGGGGCCCUACAGCUGAUGUAGGCCCUCAAAGGUAGUGGCGGACCCUCUCGGAGCCUCCUUUGCGUAGUAACUUUACGUCUCGCACUGGGAUCCGGAGGGACUCUUGCCGUAAAACCCCCAAUUUUCCAAAGGUUGACCUCGGAUCAGGUAGGAAUACCCGCUGA